This is a long non-coding RNA of Quercus robur (English oak), 6042 nucleotides long. RefSeq lists it as uncharacterized. The transcript is spliced from 4 exons. The record is from RefSeq and is a predicted model, not a curated record. NCBI's taxonomy places the organism in Eukaryota, Viridiplantae, Streptophyta, Magnoliopsida, Fagales, Fagaceae.
CUUUUUAUCUUCUGUUUUACUUUAUCUGUAUUGAAAUUGAACUGAUUUUUAUUCUUUGCCCUUAAGAUGAUUAAGCAAGACUUUAGCCAGUAUCUUAUAGACACUGUUCACUAAGCUAAUCGGCCUAAAAUCUGUAACUUCGACAGCUCCUGCCUUUUUUGGAAUCAAAGUCACAAAGAUGGCAUUUGAACUUUUCUCAAAAACACAAUUGGUAUGGAAUUCAGAGAAAAAGUGCAUGAUAUCACCUUUAACCACAGACCAUGGAAAAAGGCAAAAGAGAAACCAUCUGGCCCAGGCACUUUAUCCCCAUCCAUGUUUCGGAGAGCUUGAAGGAUCUCUUCCUUCUCAAACUGUCACUCCAAGUGAGCUGCACUAGCUCUGUCAAUGGAAUUGAAAGGCAUCCUAUCUAAUUUUGGUCGCCAUGCUUCCGUUUCCUGAUACAGAUCCUUAUAGAACUGCCCCACAAUUUCCUUAAUCACAUCUUGAUCAUUGGUGAUAUCUUCACCCACUUUAAGACUACCAAUAUGAUUGUACCUGUGAUGCGAAUUGGCCAGACGAUGAAAAAAGGAUGUAGUCCUAUCCCCUUCCUUCAACCACAGUGCCCUGGAUUUUUGUUGGUAGCUGAUUUCCUCCAUAACAGAUAAUUUUGUAGCUCUGCCUUCUUUGCUUCCCUCUCCAAACUUUCUUCCUCAUGAAAGUUAUCUGUGUCCUCCAGCCAGUCCAUCUCUCUGAUUUCCCCCGAAAUUUUAUUUUUUUUGUCUUGUCACAUCUCCAAAAUUUUCUUUGCUACAUGUCCUCAAAUCAAACUUUAGAGAUUUGAACCUUCUGAUUUUGUCCACAUAUUCUCAAACUUAAAAGAACUAUUUCCUCUGCUAAAUUACUGUCCAGCAAUACAGGAAUGUGAUCUGACACAGCCCUUGGAAGUAGCCCCUGACUCAAAGCAGGGAAAUGGCCGUCCCAUUCUGGAGAUACCAAAAAUCUAUCUAGGCGAGAUAUAGAAGGUGGGGUAUGAUUAUUCGACCAGGUAAAACUACCCCCUUCCAGUGGAAAAUCUAUCAAAUCAUGAUCUGAAAUAAAUUCAGAAAAAUCCCCCAUCCCUGAACUGAUUCUUGUAGCUCCCUUCCUCUCGGCGAUUCUCCAUGGUAAAGACAGCCAGCUGUGUACCCCUGCUAGUUCCUCCCACAAGAACUUCCUGGCUAGAUCAUUAGAAGUUCCAUACACCCCUGAAAAUACCCAUUCGAAACCAUCUGCCACAUUCCGAAAUUUGCAAGACACAACACACUCUCCUGCUGCCUCAUCAUCUUUUUCAAUCACUCUUUUAUCCCAUUUUUGCUUCUUGGAGACAUAUAUAACAUCAACCCUCCAACUUCUUAGCAGAUUACGUACUUGCAAACGUGUCUCCUCAUCAUUGAAACCUUUCUCCUCUUAGCAGAUAUACUAUGUAUCUAUUGUAAAUGAAUCAGUUAUUGGGUGAGGGUAUAUGUUGUUAUUUAGCUAUUGUAAUUUUUUCCAUAAAAAAGAAAAAGAAAAAAAGAAAUAGAUGAAGCUAUUGGAGUUUCAUAAAAAACAAGAAAUGGAGGCUGGUCGUAGCAGCACUUCAUGGUAAUUCUUGUGUGUAACUUUCAUAUGAUACAUAAAAUUUCCACAAAUCUAUAAGCCAUCCUUAUUCCUCCUAAAUAUCAUCAUUUAUGCCGAGUGUAUUAGGAAAUCAUUCUCAAAUAUUAAACCAAGUUGGUAGGAGCAUGUUGUCCAUUGGAUUUAAACAAUUUCAAAUCAACAAGUUUUCAAUUAUAUGAUGCAUUGCAGCUCCAUGCGCAUGCAUAGCUCAAAUAGAAGUAUCACCAUUUGCAAUACUAGAAGCAUCUAUAUACUUCUCAAAAAAAAAAAAAACUAGAAGCAUCUAUAUUGAAAAUCUUUUUCAGUGGAUUAAAGAAUACUAUGAUUGGAUAUAUUUUUGAAGUUGUUGAUAUUGAUGAAAUUAUGUACUUGUUGCACUUUCCAUCUUAUGGUAUUUAUAAUUCAUACUUCAUACACAUCUUACUGGUCACUAUAACCAAUAUUAUUUCCUUAUGCAUUUAUGCCACAGCUAAACGAUUUUUUUGUUUCCUUCCACUAGGACUUAUGCCCAAUUGGUUUCUUUUUAGGAUUGGAAACUUGAUCAAAGAAUGAAAUGCUUAAGGAUCUUUAAGCCAUUUUGCUAUCUUGAUUAUUAAAAAUUGUCUUCUUCCAUAUUAGAUCCAUGUUUGCUGCAUUUAAGAAUUGAAGCAUAAAUGUGUUAGAUGAUGUUGUUAUCCUGUGCAGUUUUAAUGUCCGAAAUUGUGGCUAUAUAUGUUUUGUGAGAUUUGAAGUUUAAACCAACCAAAUGCCAAGUUCAGUGACCACAACUUCUUUUGUACAUAUGAGAUAUUGAACUCAUUUUCACGGAUUUAUCACUUAAGCCUUUGAUUUAUUUCUCCUGGGUUAGAUUAAGUUCGAAUAAUCAUAUGUGAUCUAUUAUAAUCUCUAUGUUUCUUUUGUGAAUGGUAAAAUUGAUGAAUUUAAUUCAGAUCAUGGUGAGUUGGUCAGUGAAAAUGAUACUAAUUACAGUAGUGAGCUUGAAGAAGGCUGCAAUAUCAAUUACGGGACUGUGGCUGAAGAGAAUUUGAGUGAGCUCUAGUUCAUCUUUGACAGCACGAGGUUUUGUUUGGGGGGUCUAGAACAGCUAUUCUUUUGGAGCCAAUUUCACACAAUUCCUCAUGAUCAAUAAAUAGAACCCAUUUGGAUUUGGCUGAAUCACCCAGAAAAUUGUGAAAAAGUAAAAAAAAUUGGUCUGAGAAAAGUUUGGAAGCCAAAGGUAACAUUGACAUUCUUUGCACUUUUCAAUUCCUUAAGUUGUGGGUAUGUAUCGUGUCUUUUUCUUGGUGUUGAGCUUCUUAAUCAUAUCUUCAUAUGAGUGGUCAAUUUCUGCAUUGUGACCUAAUGUUAUUGAGGCAACUUCCUGACAUGAAUUUUAGGAAGGGAUUUGUUUUUUUUAAAAAGAAAAAUUGAAUCAACACCUUCUUCUUCUUCUUCUUCUUCUUCUUUUUCUUUUUCACACCUAAAGACAGUCUUUAAUGUGUGGUAUUGAUUUGUGGUGUCUCUAUUUCUAGGAUAUUUCACAGUUUCUUUGAGCUUAUGAUUUCAUGAUGAUGCUCACGUAAUUAUUUGUUUCGUAUUUCUUAACAUGCCUUAUACUAAGCUACAUAAAUACCUUAACAUUUUAGACCAAUUUAUCAAUUCAGCCAUUUAAAUUUAAUCUCUGGCAUGUUGGAGUGGAUCUAGAAAUUUGGAUAGCUAUCAAUUGUUCUAAAUAAAAAUUGAUAAUGAUUUUUGGACAUUUUUAAGAUACUUAAGAGAUUGGACUUUCCAGAAAUGAAAUUUAGUUUAUACAUUUUGGGAUAUAAGGUAAUUAUAUGACAUUGCAUUUGCAAGGGUUACUGUUAUUUCUAAUUCAUUAAUUUGGAGCAUGGAAGUUGCAUAUUAUCUUUGGAGCCUAAUUUUUGUUUCACCACAACAUCCUGUCUGAAAAUAAAGUUGGGGAAUUGGUUUUGGCUUCAAUGACCAAAACCAGUGUAUUUGCAUUAAUAUUUAUAUAGCUAUACAUCUAAAUCUAUUACACCUGAAAAGAUAUAGCAACAAUUCAAAUACAAGAAGAUUAAAUAUCAGUUGUAUGCAUAUCUAUCUCAAUAUUCUGCAGCAGCUCUGUUUUAUUGGAAAUUUGGUCUUAUCUUAAUCUUGAGAUGAUGAGAUUUGAACUUGGUGCUUAUCUUUAUCUUUCUCAAAACUAGCAUCAAUAGGAUUAGCUUGAUCCUAUUGAUCUGUUAUCUUAACAGCCCCCCGCAAGAUGAUGGGGGUUGAACAACCAUCAGCUUGGAUUUGAGAUAAACAAAACGUGAUGAGGACAAUCCUUUUGUAAAAAUAUCAGCAACCUGAUCAAGGGUAAAGAUGAACUUGACUAUGAUGUCACGAUUGACUACCUUCUCGCUAACAAAAUGGUAGUGAACUUCAAUAUGUUUAGUACGGGCAUGAAACACCGGAUUAGAGGCUAAGGCAAGUGCACUGACAUUGUCACACCACAGCACAGGAGCUACCUUAAGAGGAAUCUGAAUUUCUUGAAACAACAUUUGCAACCAGUAAAGUUCAGCUGUGGUGAUGGCUAAGGAACGAUACUCAGCUUCAGUACUAGACCAGGAAACAACAGCUUCUUUCUUAGUACUCCAAGAAAUAAGACAAUCACCAAGGAAAACUGAAAAUCCGGAAGUAGAGCGUCGAUUAUCAAGGCUACCAGCCCAAUCUGAAUCACAGAAGGCAUUAAGUUGGAGAGAACCUUUAGAGUACAACAACCCAUGAUCAGGUGUACCCUUAAGAUAGCGUAAUACACGCUUUGCAGCUGAUAAGUGAGUUGAAGUUGGAGCAUGUAGAUGUUGACAAAAUUGAUUAACUGAGAAAGCAAUCUUUGGACGAGUGAGAGUACAAUAUUGUAAGGAGCCAACAAUAUGCCGAUAGACAGUAGGAUCAUUUAGUAAGUCACCAUCAUAUUUAGAGAGCUUAGAGGUAGAAGAACAAGGUGACUUGGAAGGUUUUGCAUCAGCCAUGUGAGUGCGAGUAAGUAAAUCUGAAAUAUACCUUGUUUGACAGAUAUGUAGGCCCUUUGGAGUGCGAGAAACCUGAAUACCGAGGAAGAUUAGAGUUUUUGUUUGAUUCUAGUUUCUAAGAAUUGCUAAUUAAUUACUGCAUAUUGGAUUCUGUUUGCAAGGAAAUCUAUUUCUUUUCUUGAUUAAAUUAAUUUGAAAAAGGGGGGUUGUUUACAAACUGUUGAAUAAAUACUUCUUUAGCACUACAUUAGCAAAUAUCUGAGAAAAGGGGAUUGGUUUUACUCCUAAGGAUAAAAGCGCUUGUAACAUGAGAGUGGGUUUCAUUUUUCUUGCUGCUAAUUGAGAAAAAUAAAAAUCUUGACCUGGUUUUUCGCUUACCUUCUUUGUUACUAUUACUGGCUUGAACAAAAUUUGGAGUUCUCACUUUAUAGUGAUGGUAAUUGUAGAUCCUCUUUAAGUUUUUAUGUAUGCCGUAGUUUGUUGCGCUUGAUAGAAUUGAAUUUUGGUGUUUUUGUUAUGUGCCUUCUUGAGUAUGAAACUUGAAAAAAAAUGAAGAAUGAUCAUGUCAUAUAAUUAACCCUUUCUGUUCUGCUGGUUCAUCUUGGAAAUUAACAAUUAACAUGCUGUUUCUUUGAAUUAGUGGGCCUGGAAGAAAUUUUAUCAUUUAAGAAAGUUGAAGGGAAACUCAUAAAUAGCUAUUCCUUUAUUACUAGGAGAACUUUGACAUGGUUUCAUUGCUAAAAGUACACUGUGAAAUGCAGUCCAAGGUGGCAUCAAGAAUCUAGGAUCUAUAUCCAGACGGGGAAGAGGCUACAAAGCAAAUAUUUGGUUCAGUGCAGUGUGUCAAAAAUGUUUGUUGAACUUGGCCACAACAAAUCUGAUGCAUCAUGCGACUGGUGGUUGCAAAACAGUUAAGGUGAAUAAUGGUAAGUGAGUACAUGCUCUGGAACCUGUUAGAAAGAUGCACAUUAAUGAGUUUAUAACACUUCGGAGAAAGAAUCGGCAAGAAAAGAUUCACUGGAAUGGGCAAAGAAGCUAUUGGAGCAUUCAAUAAGGUAGUUUACAAGUGAAUUGCUUCAGGGCCUACCAAAUUGCUUAACACCCUUAUAUUACUAUGAGAAAUUUCGGAAUAUGUGAUCUAAAAAUUUAAUGUAAUAAAUUACCAUGGAGAGUUGAUCUUGAUGUUUCCAUUUUGUCUACCGUCUAGCAGACUAGCACUACUAUAUGUGCAUUCUGUAUAUGCCAUAUGGCAAAGACAAACAGUCAAAGACAUCAAAUCUAGUUGCCAAUGUGGCAGCAAUGCUUGAUUUCAUUAAGCUACAUCUAUAGGAAUGAACUGUAAAAAAAAUUAAGUCUAGCUGCCAAUGUGGCAAUGUUUGAAUUCAUUAAGCUACAGGUAUAAGAAUGAUGUGGGAAUGAUAAGAUACUA